AAAAAGAAAUGAAAAGAUAAAAUGCUGAAAAAUGCAAGAAUGGAGGGCACCUGGCUCGAACCCAUAACCUAGUGGUUAUGAGCCAAAGGAUCUACCACUCCAUCAGAGUCAUUUUGUUGCUCUCAUGAAUAUAUAGAGAGUAAAAUGACGCUAAAAAUAAAUGAAAAAAAAAAUAUAACAAAAUAGUUGUAGCAGAAUGCCAUGAAUACCAUGAAAAAUCAUUUUCACCAUGACAUGAUUUUUUCAGAAAAACAAGGUUCCAAAAU
RNAcentral lists this long non-coding RNA (266 nucleotides) under Lathyrus oleraceus (garden pea). Its description in RNAcentral is "Pisum sativum (pea) long non-coding RNA (PSAT_LNC041863)". The record is from RNAcentral. Lineage: Eukaryota; Viridiplantae; Streptophyta; Magnoliopsida; Fabales; Fabaceae.